CGUUCCCGGUCCUUGUACACACCGCCCGUCACACCACGAAAGUUGGCAACACCCGAAGCCGGUGGCCGAACCCGCAAGGGACGGAGCCGUCGAAGGUGGGGUCAGUGAUUGGGGUG
RNAcentral lists this ribosomal RNA (116 nucleotides) under uncultured bacterium. Its description in RNAcentral is "partial 16S ribosomal RNA". It matches the Rfam family "Bacterial small subunit ribosomal RNA", at positions 1369 to 1482 of the family's 1533-position model. The record is from RNAcentral.